Molecule: long non-coding RNA, 244 nt
Filed under: Elaeis guineensis (African oil palm)
Lineage: Eukaryota; Viridiplantae; Streptophyta; Magnoliopsida; Arecales; Arecaceae
Description: long non-coding RNA (EGUI_LNC068986)
Source: RNAcentral
GGUGGGUGGGUGGAUUAUUCUUGAAAUUCGAUAUUGGUUGGCUCGAUAAUUGACCGAUUCUCUCCUCAUAGUGGCCUAAGCUAACUGUCCUAUUUGAGCUUCUAGCCUGACAAUAGAUUACUAUUGGAUCAUAAUCAAUUGUUGAAGUUAAGUAAUCCUAUCAUCGGUUAGAUUAGUCUGUUGAGGAGGUGGAUAUGAUGACUGAUUGUAAUAUGAUGGCUAGAUAGACUGAUUAGGCUGAUCU